AUUGAACGCUGGCGGCAUGCUUUACACAUGCAAGUCGGACGGCAGCACAGAGGAGCUUGCUUCUUGGGUGGCGAGUGGCGCACGGGUGAGUAACGCAUCGGAACGUACCGAGUAAUGGGGGAUAACUGUCCGAAAGGACAGCUAAUACCGCAUACGCCCUGAGGGGGAAAGCGGGGGAUCUUAGGACCUCGCGUUAUUCGAGCGGCCGAUGUCUGAUUAGCUGGUUGGCGGGGUAAAGGCCCACCAAGGCGACGAUCAGUAGCGGGUCUGAGAGGAUGAUCCGCCACACUGGGACUGAGACACGGCCCAGACUCCUACGGGAGGCAGCAGUGGGGAAUUUUGGACAAUGGGCGCAAGCCUGAUCCAGCCAUGCCGCGUGUCUGAAGAAGGCCUUCGGGUUGUAAAGGACUUUUGUCAGGGAAGAAAAGGGGCAUGUUAAUACCGUGCUCUGAUGACGGUACCUGAAGAAUAAGCACCGGCUAACUACGUG
This 490-nucleotide ribosomal RNA is filed under the name uncultured bacterium. RNAcentral's name for it is "partial 16S ribosomal RNA". It matches the Rfam family "Bacterial small subunit ribosomal RNA", at positions 30 to 507 of the family's 1533-position model. The record is from RNAcentral.